This 450-nucleotide ribosomal RNA is filed under the name uncultured bacterium. RNAcentral describes it as "partial 16S ribosomal RNA". It matches the Rfam family "Bacterial small subunit ribosomal RNA", at positions 354 to 796 of the family's 1533-position model. The record is from RNAcentral.
GUGGGGAAUUUUGGACAAUGGGCGCAAGCCUGAUCCAGCAAUGCCGCGUGCAGGAAGAAGGCCUUCGGGUUGUAAACUGCUUUUGUACGGAACGAAACGGUCCGGGUUAAUACCCUGGGCUAAUGACGGUACCGUAAGAAUAAGCACCGGCUAACUACGUGCCAGCAGCCGCGGUAAUACGUAGGGUGCAAGCGUUAAUCGGAAUUACUGGGCGUAAAGCGUGCGCAGGCGGUUUUGUAAGACAGGCGUGAAAUCCCCGGGCUCAACCUGGGAAUUGCGCUUGUGACUGCAAGGCUGGAGUGCGGCAGAGGGGGAUGGAAUUCCGCGUGUAGCAGUGAAAUGCGUAGAUAUGCGGAGGAACACCGAUGGCGAAGGCAAUCCCCUGGGCCUGCACUGACGCUCAUGCACGAAAGCGUGGGGAGCAAACAGGAUUAGAAACCCGGGUAGUUC